RNAcentral lists this long non-coding RNA (251 nucleotides) under Arachis ipaensis. Its description in RNAcentral is "long non-coding RNA (AIPA_LNC001267)". The record is from RNAcentral. Lineage: Eukaryota; Viridiplantae; Streptophyta; Magnoliopsida; Fabales; Fabaceae.
AUGUAUUUGUCUGCACCAGCCCUUUUAGUUCUUCUUCCAAGAGCAUGGGUUAGCCGGAUAAUCGUUCUUAUUUCAUAGGAGGAGUUCUUUUAACUUUCACAAGAGCGUAUUCUAGGGACCUUGCUUUCACCUCUGUGUAACGCUUGAGCAGUCGAGUUUCUUCCCUUUGUUCUCCAGGUUCUCUCUUUCUCUGCUAAGUUUCUUGAUGAGGCUGUGGGCAUCUUCAAAGCUAUAAAUUAUGGAAUUAGCCC